Molecule: ribosomal RNA, 253 nt
Filed under: uncultured bacterium
Lineage: Bacteria
Description: partial 16S ribosomal RNA
Rfam family: Bacterial small subunit ribosomal RNA
Source: RNAcentral
UACGUAGGCAGCAAGCGUUGUUCGGAAUUACUGGGCGCAAAGAGUGUGUAGGCGGUGUUCUAAGUUUGUCGUGAAAUCUCCCGGCUUAACUGGGAGGGUGCGGCGAAAACUGGAAUGCUAGAGGAUGGGAGAGGUAAGCGGAAUUCCUGGUGUAGCGGUGAAAUGCGUAGAUAUCAGGAGGAACACCUGUGGUGUAGACAGCUUACUGGACCAUUUCUGACGCUGAGACACGAAAGCGUGGGUAGCAAACAGG